AGCCUUCUGGGUCCGAGGCUCCCACCUGCGCUAAGCGCUUGACACCCUUUAAAAAAAUGUAUUUAAAGAGGCUGGUUCCUAUCCAUCCGACUGGAGGCAUCUCAGUGCAAGAGCAAAGCUAAGUCCUGCACACGCACCUCCCCUCCUCCUCCUCCUUCUCCCCCCAGGUUUUCCCGAAUGUAUCUACUCCGGUUACAACUAGACGCGGCCCCUCCCCCACCUGCCUCCCCCCUUCCUUCCCUCGAUCGUGGAGGGAGCGUUCUCUGUGCCUUCCCAAGUCCCCGUGGGGUCCUUCUAUGUUGGAGUGGGGUGAGGGGGGGAGGUUCAUAUAACGAAGGCCAGAAAGAACAAAUUAGAUAAUCGAAAGAAUUAUAGUAAUUGCUUUCACUUUCCCCCGCCCGCUCAGCGGAUUCCCUCCCCCGCCCCUCCCCUGGUUUUUCUGUCUGUCGGGAAUACUCGGUCUUUCCGACCCCCUCCCCUCCCCCAGGUUCCUCCUCUCCUCUCCCCUUGCUCGCGCGUUCCCUCUCUUCCUCCGUUUUCUGGUGUGCUGGAACGUUCAGCGGAAUAUGAUGAAUGAUCACCUGUCACAGCUUGUUUAUUAUAAUGCAGGCAAUCAAUUACACAUCCCCAACGCUGGCCGGCCCGCAGGAAAUUUAUAUGCUCAGCACAAACCAAUGUGAAAAUGGAAUCUCAUUUGCCAAAUGUCUUUCUCCCCGUACAGCACGAUGAUUACAGUCUGUGUUUGUUUCAACAGUCGUGUACAACUGACAGUGCCAUCAUUUACUGCCUGGCUCAGGUCACGUUACUCUAAGGCUUUAUUUAUGGUGUUACGAAGGGCAGCACAGGAAAAGGACAAGGGUGUCUGUCAGGGAUGGCACUGUGUUAAAAAGUGGGCGUGCAAGGGCCGCAUUCCCGGGCAGCCGCUGCAACCUCAGCCCCUGGGCCCUUACCUCCGCAGCCUCUCCCAGCAUCCAGCUACCCAGACUCCAAGGCCCCAGCCGGGAGCCAGCUCUCGGUACCUGGAGCUCCACAGGUCCCAGAAUCGGGGUGGAUCAGAAUUCAAAUUCUGGUUCUGCUACUGUCUAAUUGCGUGCUGCAGGGACUCAAUCUCUUCAUCUGGGAAAUGGGAGUAAUAGCCCUUGGCAGGAAUGUUGCGAUCUCUGGGAUGUCAGAGGUGUUGAUGAAUGUUAGUUCCCGGGACUUCGGAAAGAGGUCCCGUUGGAAGAGAUGUGAAUUGGAAUUCACACCCUAUAUUAAAAUCUCCUCCAAUCUUCACCUCUGAGACAUGGCUGUCUCAAGACUGUUUUGUUUCCCUUCCUGGUGGAAUUUUGCACUUUUAUGUCCUGUGUAGCAGCAGGUAGUGUGGCUUUGAAAAAAUAAAAUGGCCACCUUGCUCCGCUGUUCUUUCUUUGUAAAAAAAAAAAAAAAAAAAAAAAAAAAAAAAAACCACAUAGCAAUCUUGGCCUUUCUAGCUGUGUGACCCCAGGCCGGUCAAUCCCUCCUCCUCUCCAAGCCUCGGAUUCCUCCCCUGAGAAGUAAAGAAAAUAACUCCUAAACUGCCUCCCUAGGCUUGCUGGCAGGAUCCAAGGUGUCCAGAGAUGUU
Molecule: long non-coding RNA, 1603 nt
Filed under: Pan troglodytes (chimpanzee)
Lineage: Eukaryota; Metazoa; Chordata; Mammalia; Primates; Hominidae
Description: lincRNA
Source: RNAcentral